RNAcentral lists this ribosomal RNA (254 nucleotides) under uncultured bacterium. RNAcentral's name for it is "partial 16S ribosomal RNA". It matches the Rfam family "Bacterial small subunit ribosomal RNA", at positions 524 to 776 of the family's 1533-position model. The record is from RNAcentral.
UACGGAGGGGGCUAGCGUUGUUCGGAAUUACUGGGCGUAAAGCGCACGUAGGCGGCUUUGCAAGUCAGAGGUGAAAGCCCGGGGCUCAACCCCGGAAUUGCCUUUGAGACUGCAUCGCUAGAAUUGUGGAGAGGUAAGUGGAAUUCCGAGUGUAGAGGUGAAAUUCGUAGAUAUUCGGAAGAACACCAGUGGCGAAGGCGGCUCACUGGUCCGGUACUGACGCUGAGGUGCGAAAGCGUGGGGGAGCAAACAGG